This 706-nucleotide ribosomal RNA is filed under the name Streptomyces sp. MA 84. RNAcentral describes it as "bacterial SSU rRNA". It matches the Rfam family "Bacterial small subunit ribosomal RNA", at positions 87 to 807 of the family's 1533-position model. Lineage: Bacteria; Bacillati; Actinomycetota; Actinomycetes; Kitasatosporales; Streptomycetaceae. The record is from RNAcentral.
GGGGAUUAGUGGCGAACGGGUGAGUAACACGUGGGCAAUCUGCCCUUCACUCUGGGACAAGCCCUGGAAACGGGGUCUAAUACCGGAUACGAGUCUCCAAGGCAUCUUGGAGGCUGGAAAGCUCCGGCGGUGAAGGAUGAGCCCGCGGCCUAUCAGCUUGUUGGUGAGGUAAUGGCUCACCAAGGCGACGACGGGUAGCCGGCCUGAGAGGGCGACCGGCCACACUGGGACUGAGACACGGCCCAGACUCCUACGGGAGGCAGCAGUGGGGAAUAUUGCACAAUGGGCGAAAGCCUGAUGCAGCGACGCCGCGUGAGGGAUGACGGCCUUCGGGUUGUAAACCUCUUUCAGCAGGGAAGAAGCGAAAGUGACGGUACCUGCAGAAGAAGCGCCGGCUAACUACGUGCCAGCAGCCGCGGUAAUACGUAGGGCGCAAGCGUUGUCCGGAAUUAUUGGGCGUAAAGAGCUCGUAGGCGGCUUGUCACGUCGAUUGUGAAAGCCCGAGGCUUAACCUCGGGUCUGCAGUCGAUACGGGCUAGCUAGAGUGUGGUAGGGGAGAUCGGAAUUCCUGGUGUAGCGGUGAAAUGCGCAGAUAUCAGGAGGAACACCGGUGGCGAAGGCGGAUCUCUGGGCCAUUACUGACGCUGAGGAGCGAAAGCGUGGGGAGCGAACAGGAUUAGAUACCCUGGUAGUCCACGCCGUAAAC